This 4513-nucleotide long non-coding RNA is filed under the name Gossypium barbadense (sea-island cotton). RNAcentral's name for it is "long non-coding RNA (GBAR_LNC018195)". Lineage: Eukaryota; Viridiplantae; Streptophyta; Magnoliopsida; Malvales; Malvaceae. The record is from RNAcentral.
ACAUCGGAGAACUUGUUCUGCUUUUCGUGCUCAUUGUCCAUUAGUUGUCCAACGAAUGAGUCAGUAACAUGUAAAUCAUCAGCAUUCUCGUUUGAAAUCUCAACUUCCACGGUUUCAUUACUCUGACUUGCUUUAGGCUGUAGGUGGUCAGUUGGUGAGUCUUCCCUAGUUUCUCCCUCGGAUCUCUCGUCAUGGUCUUUGACUGAUGUUGCUUCUGCGAUGCUUGUGUUUGUUUCUGCAGUUUCGGCACAGAUGGCAGUAUUGACAUCCUCAGAAACUGCAUCUAAAGGACACAUAUGGUUCUCCUUUUCGGGUUCAUUCUUUUGCUUGAAGCUCUCCUGGAUUUCGUCCUUGUGGGAAUUUUCCUCUUGAUUCUUCUGUACGACAACAAUAUUUUCUACUUCACUAGUUUUUACUUCAGGCAUUGGAACAAUGGAUUCCUCGUCCUUUCUCAUUUCAGACAAUCCCUUUGUUAUGGCCAGCUCCUUGUCUGUCACCUGUAUGACUCUCACGUCCGCCGCAACGUUUUCUGAGUGCUUGUGAGGAUCUUGAUCUUCUUCUGAAGUGUCCUCGGCUAUUUUCCUCUCUUCAAUGAGAGUCGUAUCAUAUUUUUCCAAAGGCAUAGUAGAAUGUUCCUUAACAUCAUCUCCUAAUACCUCUUUCAAUAGAAUCUCCUCGGAGGUCAUUUCCAUUUGAUUUUCACUUCCUGUGUUUGGAAAUUUAUCCUGCACUCCAUCUUCUUUUCGGGAAAUCUCGAUGUCCUUCUCACUUGUCACGUAUGAUUCUACUGAUUUUACAUCAAUGUCUGCACUUUCUAAACCAAUCCCUUCAUCUUCACCAUCAACAACAUUAUUUAUUUCAUUAAUUUCCUCUUCUUCUGGUUCAGCUUUAGCUUCCUUUAAGUUUGUUUCUGCCGUUUCUGCUGCUUGUGAUGUACAAUCGAAAUCAGCAGUAUCGAUGUGUUUGUUUACUGCUGUUUCUUCUUCAGUAUCCAUUUUGGACUCCUCGAGCUCAAAUGAAGAGCUGCAGACAAGUUCUUCUUUGAAAUCGAUUAUAGUUAUUUCUUUUUCCGCUGUACCUGAAGCUGUAGUUUCUGAUCCUCUACAAACCUGCAGGAUAUACAAAAUUUCAAUAUAACUCUGACAAAGUUCUGGAUGGUUAUGGACUUAUAAGACAAAUUCCAAUGGGCCAUGGGUCAUCUUUGUGCUAAGUUCAUGAACUGAACAUUUUAUUCUUUGAAAUCCAAGUUAUCGUGAGGUUUGCUAGCUAGCAUCAGUUGCCUCAUGACACCUCUCUUAUUAAGGAUCUCUGUUUUUGGCCUUAUCUUUUGUGGUUUUGAUCAGAAUUCACUCAGCUCUAUAUUUUUACACUGUGUAAUGGAUAGCCUAUCACUUCUGAUUGUACUGUUUUGCAUUGUACGCAUGUGUUUGCCAAUAAUAAUGGUUGUUUGUUCCAGGUCUAUUAAUGGAAGUAGUUCGGAAGUAUAUUAUAAGAUUGAAGUUUGAAGAUUGGAGAGUUAAAUAAUUUUCUUACCUCUUCAAUUGUAAUCUGAUUAUUGUUGGUGUCUUCCUCCUUUAGAAUUUGUUUUCCAUCAUUCUCAACUGUGUUGUCCGGUUCUAGCUUUUCAGCGACCUGAAUGAAAAUAUAUUCAUAGAUUGGUUAAACAUGGACGUUUCAGAUUUUAGCAAAUAGAUUGAAAUUGAGUUAGUAUUCAUGAUAGGAACUCUUUUGAUUACCUCAGCUUCAUCCUUGUCCACAGUUUCCAUAUUUAGAUUCUGCUUUUGCACUUCAUCAUUUUCAUUAGUUCGGAUAUCAGGAUCCGAUUCAGAGGAUAUCUCUUCAAGCUGCGCAAUCUCCACUUCUGUCUCUUGAGCAUCACUCUUAAUAUUUCCUACAGUCGUCUCAGCUGAGCUGAUAUUUGAAGCAUUUACAAUCUUGUCGGCGUCGUUCAAGCUCGUCUCUGCUGUUACUUCUGUUACAGCUUCAAUACAACUCUCCUCAUGACACGGUUUCGAUGCAUCAAUAAUCUCCUCAGUUUUCUCUUCUGCUUCUCGAUCUUUGCUACGCAGACUUACAGGAUCUCCGGACUCUUCAGCCUGUCUCAUUUCUUCUAAUUCUUUGGUGAUGUGGGAUGCUUCUCCAUCAUUGGUUGAAUGUUCUUUGACCUCCAAGUUUUCUGCAACUAUCUGCUCUUUGGACUCUGCUUCCAUGAAACAUUCAGUUGCGACAGAACUGUAGUCUUCCACCUGUGCAUAACAUAGAUAAAAUGUUUAACAAUAUAACAUCCGAAAAUUUGUUUGAAUAUCUAUUCAUUUUGAAAGUGAAAAGUGUAAUUAUUCAUUUUGUUUUUUAACAAGAAAAAGAGCAGAAUAAGUAUUCACUAACCUUUGCAUUAUAAGUCAUGAUAACCAUCUCAGGAAUCUGAUUUUCUUUUUCUAUUUCAGUAUCUUCCUUCAAGCUUUCCGGUUUCUCUAUGUUCUUAGCUAAUUUCUCUUCUUCGGUAGCCUUCUCAUCAUCCUUGUGAGUACCCAAGGUUGCUUCCAAAUCCACAGCUUCAUCCAAUGGCUUUCCAUCUUCAAUUUUUGAUCUAUCCAGUCCUACAUCUGACGGAUUUUGAACUGGCAGUGCUUUUGCUUCGCAAGCAUUGGUUUGAUUCUCAAAUUCUCUAUGUUCUUCAACGGUAGAGACAUCGGUGAUCUCUAGAUUAGAUUCCUCGGCCAACUGUUCCUCAACUACUUGUCCACUUUCAUUUCCCAUAUCUUUAGACUCAGCUUUAGGGACAUCUACUAGCGGAUUAUCUUCAAUUUGCAUUAAUUUCUCAUCCAUUAUUUGUGGCAUAGGAGUUUCUGAGUGCUCACGCUGAUCCUGAUCUUUGUCUGAAGUUUCGUCAGUUAUUUUCCUUUCUUCAGAGAAUGUUGCCUCAUAUUCCUUCACUUCAUCUCCUAAUGUUUCUUUCAAGGGAAUCUCCUUGGUGGUCAUCUCCAAUUGAUCUUCACUUCCUGCAUAUGGAACUUUAUCCUGCACUGCAUCUUCUUCUUCGGGAAUCUCCAUGUCCUUCUCGUGUGUUACGUACGAGUCCCCUGAUUUCACAUCAAUUUCAGCACUGCAUACACCACUCUCUUCAUGUUCCGUUCUUGCUGAGCUGUUCUCUUCGAUGACAACAACAUUAUAUAUUUCGUUAUUUCUCUUUUCUCUUUCAGCUUCAGCAUCAGCUUCAGCUUCAGCAUCAGCUUCAGCUUCCUUUAUGUUUGUUUCUUCUGUUUCUGCUGGAUAUGAUGCUGAGAUUUCUUCUUCGGUGUCAUUUUUGGACUCCUUGAGCUCAAACUCCGAACUACGAGCCCAGUCUUCUUUCACUUCUAUUGGUGUUAUUUCUUCUUUUGACUCCUGUACAAUAUCAUACAGACUAGAACCAUUAUUUGGCUUUGCUGUUUCCUCUAUGGACUCUGUUUCCUCAAUGAUUGUGUAGCUCGUCUGUAAAACGUUGAAUAUAUAAGUUGAUGGAAGAUUGAAUCCAAAAACAUUGAAUAAGUGGAAAAGUUAAGAUGUUAGUGAUUCAUACAAUCUACUUACCACUGUUAUCGACGCCACUGCUGCAGUAUUCUCUUCCUUAGCUUUUUCUUUCUUCGUCUCAGUCAUUAGUGUUGUCUGAUCCUUCUUGUUGUCUUCCUCCUCUAGAAUUUGUUUUUCGGCAUUCGCUACUGUGUUGUCUGGUUCCAGAUUUUCACAGACCUGAACAAAAUUAGUAUCAAAAGAUUGGUGAAACAUGGAGGUUUUCAGCUUUCAACUUGAUCUUAAGACUUUCAAAACAAACAAAAAAAGAUCUUAAGAACUAGUCUUUGCAAAAUUUUAGAAGUAACAUGAAUGUCACCUCUACUUCAGGUGUGGCUUCAUUUUCAUUUUCUUCUGUAGCUUUCAGUGAGUCAUCGAUGAUAGCACAUUCUUUCUUCAUGAUCGACAUUGGACCUUCAUGAACCUGCAUGAAGAAUAAGGUGUACUUUUAUUAAUAAUUACAAUGAUAAUAUCUGAAAGAGAUUAAAAUUGUUUUAAAAUUGUUUUUUAAACUGAGUUAGUAUUCAUUCAUGCCCUAAAUUUACACCUCUUUGGUUUCUUCAUGUUUUAAGUUCUCCAUGGCAUCCUUUGGUUCAGGUUUCUGUGCACUGCAGUUCUCCGGCUGCUGCAGUAUACUCUCUUCUUUGUGUUCUAAAGCUUCAUUUUCCACUGGUUGAACACUGAGGAGCUCAUACUGCUUUUCGUGCUCAUUGUCCACUAGUUGUCCAACAUAUGAAUCAAUAACAUGUAAAUCAUCAGCCUUCUCGUUUGAAAUCUCAACUUCCACAGUUUCAUUAAUGUAACUUGCUUUAGUUUGUAGGUGGUCAGUUGGUGAGUCUUCCCUUAUUUCUCCCUCAGAUCUCUCGUCAUGGUCUUUGACUGAUGUUGCUUCUUCGAUGCUUGUGCUUGUUUCUGCAGUUUUGGCACAGAUGGCAGUAUUGACAUCCUCAGAAACUGCAUCCAA